AGCUGAGGGCAAUCUGUCUGUAAUAUCUGUCACCCCACUGAUGGCCAGGGUUGAUUCAGCUGAUCUGGCCAGCUAGGUUGGUGUCCUCUUGCUCCCUCACCACUCCAUGUGCAUCCUUCCUGAAGCUGUGUGCUUGGUCAAAGAGGACAACCUUCCCCAGUUAAGAUGUACUGUUUAUCAGCCAAGAGUAUACACUAGCUAUGCUUCCUGGCUAAAACCUCCAAACAAGCUUUACAGAUCAUCAUUAGAAAAGAGUACAUAUCAUGACUUCAGUCAGCCAUGCUGUAGUUCCAAGCUGGAAAAUAUCCAC
Molecule: small nuclear RNA, 310 nt
Filed under: Numida meleagris (helmeted guineafowl)
Lineage: Eukaryota; Metazoa; Chordata; Aves; Galliformes; Numididae
Description: 7SK RNA (ENSNMEG00000002565.1)
Rfam family: 7SK RNA
About the family: 7SK was discovered as an abundant small nuclear RNA in the mid-70s but a possible function has only recently been suggested. Two independent studies have found that 7SK RNA binds the CDK9/cyclin T complex (known as elongation factor P-TEFb). P-TEFb activates transcription by phosphorylating the C-terminal domain of RNA polymerase II.
Source: RNAcentral